RNAcentral lists this ribosomal RNA (530 nucleotides) under Ceutorhynchus wagneri. RNAcentral describes it as "partial 16S ribosomal RNA". The stretch from base 392 to 530 matches the Rfam family "Bacterial large subunit ribosomal RNA", at positions 2473 to 2611 of the family's 2925-position model. The record is from RNAcentral. Lineage: Eukaryota; Metazoa; Arthropoda; Insecta; Coleoptera; Curculionidae.
AAAAACAUGUCCUUUUGAUUUUAAUUUAAGGUUUAACCUGCUCAAUGAAUUUUAAAUAGCCGCAGUAUCCUAACUGUGCAAAGGUAGCAUAAUCAUUAGUUUUUUAAUUGUAAGCUGGAAUGAAAGGUUGAAUGAGAAAAUAGCUGUCUCUAUAAAAAUUUUAUAGAAUUUUAUUUUUAAGUAAAAAAGCUUAAAUUUAAAUAAAAGACGAGAAGACCCUAUAGAGUUUUAUAUUUUAAAAUUUUAUUUUUUUUUUAGUAUUUUAAGAAAUUUUAUUUAUAAGUAUUUAGUUGGGGUGAUUAGAAAAUUAAAUAAACUUUUCUUAUAUUUUUACAUUUAUGUAUGAAAUUGUGAUCCUUAAAUUAAGAUUAUAAGCAAAAAUUACCUUAGGGAUAACAGCGUAAUUUUUUUUAAGAGUUCUUAUCGAAAAAAGAGAUUGCGACCUCGAUGUUGGAUUAAAAUUAAUUUUUGGUGUAAAAGCUAAAAAAAUUAGGUCUGUUCGACCUUUAAAAUUUUACUUGAUCUGAGUU